This is a non-coding RNA of Biomphalaria pfeifferi, 114 nucleotides long. Lineage: Eukaryota; Metazoa; Mollusca; Gastropoda; Planorbidae. The record is from the annotation of a GenBank genome assembly.
UAGCGUCAGUAACCACCUUAAGAUAGAACCUCAGCAGCUAGAGCUCCGGAAAUUUCGGGUGAGUGUGUCCCGCACAGCCCAACACGGGUUCCUCGAAAUGAACUAUCAGCUUUA